CGGAGGAUCCAAGCGUUAUCCGGAAUCAUUGGGUUUAAAGGGUCCGUAGGCGGGCCUGUAAGUCAGUGGUGAAAUCCGGCGGCUUAACCGUCGAACUGCCAUUGAUACUGCAGGUCUUGAAUUAUUGGGAAGUAACUAGAAUAUGUAGUGUAGCGGUGAAAUGCUUAGAUAUUACAUGGAAUACCGAUUGCGAAGGCAGGUUACUAUCAAUAUAUUGACGCUGAUGGACGAAAGCGUGGGGAGCGAACAGGAUUAGAUACCCUGGUAGUCCACGCCGUAAACGAUGGAUACUAGCUGUUGGGCGCAAGUUCAGUGGCUAAGCGAAAGUGAUAAGUAUCCCACCUGGGGAGUACGAACGCAAGUUUG
This 366-nucleotide ribosomal RNA is filed under the name uncultured organism. RNAcentral's name for it is "bacterial SSU rRNA". It matches the Rfam family "Bacterial small subunit ribosomal RNA", at positions 526 to 896 of the family's 1533-position model. The record is from RNAcentral.